CAGGGCAGGAAGAAGUGGACAA
RNAcentral lists this microRNA (22 nucleotides) under Homo sapiens (human). RNAcentral describes it as "hsa-miR-4436b-3p". Lineage: Eukaryota; Metazoa; Chordata; Mammalia; Primates; Hominidae. The record is from miRBase by way of RNAcentral.